UACGUAGGGAGCAAGCGUUGUCCGGAAUUACUGGGUGUAAAGGGAGCGUAGGCGGAAUGGAAAGUUGAAUGUUAAAUCCAUCGGCUCAACCGGUGGCUGCGUUCAAAACUUCCGUUCUUGAGUGAAGUAGAGGCAGGCGGAAUUCCUAGUGUAGCGGUGAAAUGCGUAGAUAUUAGGAGGAACACCAGUGGCGAAGGCGGCCUGCUGGGCUUUAACUGACGCUGAGGCUCGAAAGCGUGGGGAGCAAACAGGAUUAGAUACCCUGGUAGUCCACGCCGUAAACGAUGAUUACUAGGUGUGGGGGGACUGACCCCUUCCGUGCCGCAGUUAACACAAUAAGUAAUCCACCUGGGGAGUACGGCCGCAAGGUUGAA
Molecule: ribosomal RNA, 374 nt
Filed under: uncultured bacterium
Lineage: Bacteria
Description: bacterial SSU rRNA
Rfam family: Bacterial small subunit ribosomal RNA
Source: RNAcentral